ACUGGCCUCAAGCGAAGAUUACACUCCACCUGGCCUAACUUGCGCAGGCCGCGCCCAUGGACUGUCCCGCACCUUGCGCUUCCGCAUCCCACUCAGUCCCGCGCCAGCCCUGGCCUCGCCCGCGCAGUGGAUGCCGGUCUUGUACACGGAGUUGCCAUUUUGCCGCUAGAGAAGCCCUCUGGAGACCUGAACGCUCUUUCUUCAGUGGCCUAGCCUGCGGCGGCGCCGGGACUGGGUCUGGGCCAGGGGUCGGCACAGCCAGGACUUGGCGCGCGGCCCGGAGUCGCUGGUCUCCACCAGGCGCUGCAGGGAGCCCAGCCCCGGAGUGGGACCUGCGGGAAGCAGCUCAGGUCUCACAUGGCCUCUGCUGUCACUGAGCCUGGCUGUGCUGAGGGGGGGACAUUUACCCCCCAAAUGAGGAUUUCAUUCCACUCCGAGCUCCUCCCUGCAGACUGAGAGAGGACCAAGAUAUUAGAGUAAGAUAGCAGUUAUUAUUCUACCUGCACAUGCUUUGGCUCAAGUCCCUUCUAUUGAUAAGGGGUUUCUGCUUCUUUUAAUAUUGGUGCCACUUGGGUGUUUAGGUUUUGUGAGGAGACUGAAUGCAGCAUGGGGCUUUGACAACAAGGCAAAGUGUGAUCAGUAGGGUUUAAAAAUUUAAAUCCACAAAUAAAAAUAAUUCACCCACAUAAUUGAACCUUGCUACAGAAUACCCAUCUUGCCCAUAUUUGGCUGUCUCUAACCAUUACUACCCAGUUCUGCUCAUAUCAUUUAUAUAUUUGUAUAGUGUUGAAUAAUUUUAUUAUAUAGGUAGAAGUGUACUUAGUUAUCCUGUUACUGACCAUGUACAAAAGUCUAGUUCGUCUUAGAAAAAUUGCAAUGAGCAUAUAUCAUUUUUUCUUGGGAUAAAUUCCAGAAUUUGGAAAUACUAAUUCAGAGUUCUCUGUUCUUUCCCUGACACUUGACAUGAACUGGUGCCUAAACAAGCCAUGUUUACAUCUUUCAAAAUCUAGGUAUUUGUCCAAUUAUCUUGGAAAAUUUGGAGUUCAGAAAGAUGUUGAGUCAUUUUCUGUGCAGACUGAGAGACAGGUCAAACAACCUACUGUUGAAUUUUGUUUUUAAGUGAUGUACCAUAUUCAUCUAUUUAUUUUGAUUGAAUCUAUUCUGUUUUGUUUCAUUUGGCUUCAUUCUCUCUAAAAUAAAAUUUUUAAAAAAUUUUCUUGCUGGGCAUGGUGGUUCAUGCAUGUAAUCCCAGCACCCUGGAGGGUUAGACAGGUUCAUCAACAGGGAAUGCCAAGCUAGCCUGAAAUACUGAGUUCAAGGUCAGGCUGCAGUACAUAGCAGGACUUUAUCUCAGAACAAAAUGAACAAACACUUUUUCCUCUUAUUUUAAUGUAGCACAAGUAGAUACUAAUAAAGAAAAUAUGAAAACCCUUAUAAAUAGAUUAAAGAUUUGAUACUAUGCAGUUUAUAUACUAUGAAACUAUAGUAUAUUUAUAUACUAUAGUAUACUUUAUAUAACUAUAUACUCUAAAACUGCAUAGUACGAAACUAGUAUGAAGUAUGCAGUUUCAUAUUAUGCAGUUUAUAUUCUAUGUUUAGUGAUCCUGGGUUUUUGUGCAUGAGCUAUAUGCCCCUGCAAUUUAAAAAAAUUUUUUUUUGAGACAGGGUCUAUAUAAUUCACUAAUUCCACAGGUUGGGUUUAAACUUGUGGUCCUCCCAGAGUGCUGGGAGUAUAGGUACAGGCUAUCCUUACUUAGAAAUUUGCAAUAAUUAUGUAUAUUUAUGGGAUAAAAUGUGCCUUUAAAAUAUGGAUCCUUUGUAGAAAGACUCAAUCUAGUUAAUGUACCUACCACCUUACUAAUCUACAAAUUCUUUCACAGUGAGUAGGACUGUAAAUCCCAUUGGUUAGCAGUUUUGAAGCUGUCUUCUUAUUAACUGUGGUCACCAUAAUGUUUAGUAGAGAAUUCAAAAUUUCUUCUUCACUGUGACUGAGAUUUUGUAUUCUUGGGUAAACAUCCUCCAUUCACUAUCUCUCGUGGAACUGAUCAUAUUUUAAAAUCAGACUGCCAAAGAAAGGUGUGAAGGCUCAAGGUAUUUGGGGCACAUUGCUCUUCAGAAAGCCCAAGCAGUGGUACUCUGCAGGCAUGCACCUUGCUCCCAGUUCUUUUGGGUUUUUUUGUUUGUUUUUUUGUUUGUUUGUUUGCUUUUUUUUUUUCCUUAACUGAAUUGUAGGAAUUGAAUGCAGGGCUGUCUUAGUUACUUUAUACUGUUUGCUGAGACAAAAUACCUGAUGCCAAAAGUUGGGAAAGGAAAGGUUUAUUUCUUACAAUUUUUGGAAGUUUCAGUCCAUACUCAGUUGGCUUUAAGGCAGGCUGGCAUGGCAGGGCCGAGGUUCAUGGCUGCUGCAAACAGCAAGGAGGAAACAGGCAAAAGAGCAAGACAGGCCUUCUUUCUGCCAUUACAUCACAUCCUGGCUCCACCCCUAGGUCAGUGUAGCACUCACACCCCCGGUCCAAGGGAUAAACAAUGAACCAGUCAAAAAUGCGUAAUAGAAUCGCAUGAGGCCUGGGGGCCACAGACAUAAACUAUGACAAGGGCCUUGCACUGAACUAGACUAACUUCUGUUUUAAAAUUCUUUUUUAAUUUGAGCCAGGGUCACCAGAAGGAACUACAGUGCUGAGACACCAUUCUUGGACAUACAUUCUUACAUGUCUAUGUGUGGAUGCACCUUGAUGUCAUGUUGGAAACUAACAGGAGAUGAAAUAACUCUGAGCAGGAUUUAAAUUUUACUAAUUGACUUUCUAUGGGUAGCUGUCAAUCUGUCCUAGGCCCAGGCCCAUUGCCUGGAGAUGGGAGCUGAUUCAUAGUAAGUGAACCUAUAUGAAUCACAGGUCCUGGCGGAGGCCUGUAGUGGAUUGUGAGGCCAGAGAUACCUCAAAGGGCAAGAUAAGGCUAUAGCUGUGGACAGUCUGGCUCCAACACCAAUUAACUAGGUAGAGACUGCAGAUGCAAAGAUUACUCCUACAGUGUCACUUCUACCAUGUCUUCAUGAUAAGACAGUGCUACUGAAUUGACUUGAUUCAUUACUUGGAGACAUCCUUGAAGUGACUCCCAAGGUCCUGCUCAUUGAUUGUACUUUCCUCAGUUUCUCUGCCCUUUAUCCUUGGUCCUAAUGUAAGUAGAUUGACACAGACAAUCCUUUGUCUUUACCCUCAAAGUGGAGCCCUACAAAUCAUAUAAUUUUGUUUUUAUUUAACCUCCACCAUAAACUAGUUUGGGAGAUCCGGGAUCUAGGACAGAACCCCGUAAUGUCAGAGACAUUUCACUUUGAAAACCGAGAUCCUUAUUCUCACAUCCAUGUAUUAUUUCAUGAUCAGAUUCCUUGGCUUCUUUUCCUGUGGACCCAGGGAGACCAAUCUCAGCAUCCCCCCAGCUUUCCCUGCAUUCUGUGGCCCACACUGAUGCCCUAUACCCUUUACAUGGAAGAUAGAGAUGGUCCCAGUUUCUUCCUGCUUUAAACAGCUGUGAAUCAAACUCCUGAAAAGAAAUCUUGCAAAGUUGUGCAACUUUCUGUAAGUCAUAAACCUCUGUAAGUCAUAGCACUCUGAUGGGAGCUGCCAGAUGGGGCUCUGCUUGGCCCCCCAUGUUCUCCCCAGUGCUGUUCAGGAACUGCCUUAAAACCUGCUAUCAGAUGGAGACACAGCACAUCUCAGGGAUGUGUGACUGCAUGAAACAGCUUUGGAGGCUUAGUGUUUUCUGCCCUUGUUGGUCACUUGUGGUGAUUCUCUUUUGAUUUAUAAGAAUUUUUCAUCUCUCACAGAAUGAACUCAUGACACCUCUUUUACACCUGUAUCACAAACUAUCUGUCUGACUAUGGCUUGUAAGGAAAGGUUUCUUGUAGUUUCUACAUGAUACUUGUUUCUGUUUUUCAAAUGCAAUGAAUCAGACCUUUGUAGCUCCUUUCUAUCACUGAAGUCAUGGGAAAACUUUUCCAAAAUGAAAAGAUGAGUAGGUACACAAUGGUCUCUACAUUUUCCUGAUAGAAUUGUCUACCUGGGGUUUUCUCAUCUAUCAAAGAGCAACAGCAGCCAGUGUCUUCCAGUAAAAUUUGACUGAACAGAAUCUGAUAAACAAUUAUUAAAGACCCAGAGUACUAAAUUGCAGUGAGAAAAAGGUCAGAGGAGGUUGGGGUAUAGCAGGAGAGGACAGGGGUAUGGGGGGUCCAAAACUGAGUAGAGAGCUAGAAAUCAAUAGCUGUGGAAAUUGUAGAAAUAGAUGGUGUACUUAUGUGCUAUUGAAUUGAACAUGAUGAAACAAAUGGUAUCUUAUCUUUAAAGGUAAAUUGUACUGAAUUCAAUGUCUAGAAGAGUUACAGACUUAGUAGUAGAAAUGUAAACUUAAAAUAAUACAAGGUGUACAAGGAGAGGGGAAAGGAAAGGCAGGUGCUUUGGAGGAUUGGCCCUAAGUGGAGUUCAGGAUGCUUGCUGUGGAGCCAGUAAAAGCCUCAGCUCUAGAAUUUCUCAACACAGGCUGCCUGGCCAUAGUUUUCACUUUGAUCCCAAAGCUGGUGAGGUCACUGGAGAUGGAUCUAGCAUAAACUCUGCAUGUGGGGCUUGAGCUCAGUUAGGUACUACCCUGUGUCAGCAGAAGGAGAAAAAUCACCAACUAUCCUUGUUCCUUGCAGGCCCUAGAACUUCCCAGUGCCUGUCACAGACAGUUCUGUGCACAAAUCCACCCCAGGAGAGCUUACCAUUCUUCUUUGAGCUACUCACUUCUGCAUGUCUCAGUGUUGCAGGAGGCCCAAAAUCUUGGAGUCUUUGUCUGUCUAAAGUUUCCCAUGCACUCCCCAGAGGCCCACAGACCCAGGCCAAACCCUUCUGACUUCAGUUCUCAUUUUCAGUGAGCUCAGGUUGGUCUAACUCAACUGGGCAUGUUAUAGAUUUGGACAUCAACCUACUGCUGCACUUGCAGAGCCCCACCCCAGCCUUUUCUUUGCCUUGAAUGGGGUAGUGCUGGCCCAGGUGGUCCUCACAUGCUGAUAGAAGUCCCUAACAGUGCUGUGACCACCUGUCCUCCCUUCUUCAGGUAAGCCUAACAUAAACCUCCCUUCCCAACCUUUGUGGCCUGUUGUCUCUGAGCAAGAGUGGUGUCUGCAGAGUUACUCUACUCAUGGUCACUCUACAGGGGUGAUGUACUAUAAAUAUCUGCAAAGUGAGUGGACAGAGAGUGUGGGUUCUGCCUGCCUUUCCUCCAUCUUCAGUUUAUAUAAUGAUGUAUCACCCCAUUCUGUGUGCCUUAGAGGAACUCCCCUUACCCUAUUAUGUGUUCACAUGUACAGAGGCCAGGAAGUUAGGCACAUUCACAGUAAUGUGGGUAUUACAUAGUGUUCUCUCUAAGGUGACUGUGUGGCCUGCACAACAUUAAAGCACAAGACAACAGUGUUUAUGUUUAAUCUGGUCAUUACAUCUGUCAGAGCCUAGUAAAUUGAUAAUUAAAUGCACCCACCAGCUUCCUGCAUAAUUUCUGUGUGGACCAUGAUAUCUCUCAGAAAUUCCUGCUCUGGAUAAUAGGGCAUCCCACAGAAUGACUCUCCAUUGUCCUUCACAAUAAACAACAGCUUCUUCACCUAAGUGAUGGAUCCUUGGCAGGAUGCAAAUAUUUCCCAUGGCUAAGAAAAAACAGCAGUGCAGGCAGGGUCUCAGCUCUGAUGCAAAAGUCAGGGGUUUGGGUAAAACUUGUUUUUCUGCUUUGUUAUGUCAACCUAGACAAGACACCAUGCCUCUCAGGAGCUUCCCGAUAUGAUAGUGUACUCUAUGGAGGUCAUUCUGGCAUCUGCCACCUGGGAACAUCAUCAGUGAUGUGAGAUAACACUUUUAAAAUCUGUGGGCUGGUGUCACAUAUACAUAGAGCACAGAAUUAGAAGUGAAAUCCAGGAAAGGGUAGGAUGGAGGUGGAACACAGUGCACACAAUGCUGGCUCCUGCUGUGUGGUGGUAGAAAUGAGACUCACCUCCUGGACAUGUUUCCCUGGUGGCUUCAUGAGGGUAUGGAAAUGCAUUGACUCAGCCAUCCAUAUUUUCCCUAAGCAUCUCAAUUUCUUCUAUGUAUUGGUGCUGUGGACUCAAAUCAGGACCUCACACAGGCUGAGCAAGCACUAUGGAUGGAGCUACAUCCCCAUAUCUAAGUCCAUAGCUUCUAUAUUCACACCUGUGUGAGCAAACAGGCCUAUGGCCUGUGCUCCUACUCAGUAGCUGAAAGUUCAUCUUGUGAUGGCCAUAUCCUGAGUAGCCUGUUCCCUAUGUUAUGGUCCUAACUUUUUUUUUGUCUUUUUCCUUUUUAUCAGUACCGGGGAACGAACUCACAACUGCCUGCUUGCAAGGCAGGCACUUGUGCCACUGAGCUAAAUGCCCAGCCCUAUGGUCCUAACUUUGUGGCUUAUUAUUAUUAUUAUUAUUUUAAUUUUGCAUUAGCAGUGCUAAAAUUGAGGCCAGGGCCUCAUGCAUGGUAAGCAAGUAUUGUAUCAUGAGCUCUCUCCCCAGUUCCUGACUCACUCUUAAAUAACUGAAUAUGGCAGAGGUUAUGUGAUGGUACUAUUAAGGUUCACACAAAAUAACUGUGACCAAUCUCCUGAUCUUUUCUUUUGUUCUCCCCAGUAUGGUGGUUUUUCCUAUUUUUUUUUUUUUUUGGUCCCUCUCUGGAUCUCUGUCUUCAAAGAAGUCACUGCUAUCUCUGCAGCGUCCCUGAGGAGAGGCUGAUGAACCUUGAGUGACAAAAGGGAAACCAGACAGAGGAGACAUUAGGCUUUUGUCCUGAGUCCUUCCUAUAGACAAAGGACAAAGUCUGAGAGCAAAUUCUGCCCAAGUGGCAUGUUCACUGAGUAUGUAGCUCUAUGUACCAAACUACUAUGGUAGCAGCCUCAGAAAAGCCUCCUGGAUUCCUGAUCCACAGCAACUCUUAUUAGAACAGAGUAUUAUCUCUUGUAUCAGAUAGGCACAGACUGACCUGCCUUGUAUCUUUUAAUAUUUUGCAAAUGUAUGUUAUGACUGGACAAAAUUUGUCCUCUCUGCCUUCUUUCACCAAUCAAUCAUUCUGAGGUUACUGUACAGUGUUUUUAUAUUUUUAUUAGAAUUUCAAGUCAUGGCUUGCUGUAGUUUCUUUAUUAAUUUAGAUGUUAUUGGAUAUUCACAUUGUAGUUUUCAGUUUUGAAAUCAAAGCUGAUGUGAAUAUCUUGUAAAAUUCUCUUCAUUACAUAGGAAUGGAUGCACAGAAUGUUAAGGUAGUCAUGUGUGCUACUGUUAAAUUAACUGCCAAAAUGAUUUCUGAAGUGAAUAUACCACUAGCAAUGCAAAAGGAGUCUCCUUCCUCACCAAUACCAGUGUACUUUGACCUAAAAAAAAAAAAAGUCGGCUCUUAAUGCUCUUCAAUACAUAAGCAGGGUCUUUCCUUGUGAGAUGAAUAUUCACUUACCUGAUUACUGAUAAUGUUAAGAGACAUGUACAGACCCUGGAAGGGAACAUAACUCCCAAGAGCAUGUUGAAGGCCUUCAGAAGUGAUAGACAUGUGGAUCCCACAGAGGCCUUCCAAUCACUGCAGGCUCCUGCUGAAAUCACACUGCAUGAACCAGGGAGCUCUGCCUUCUACUGAGGUUAAGGCCCCAUGACCAGGACAGUCUCUGUGAGUUACUUGACAGAAGGUGGAGGUGGAGGAGCCCCUAGCCCAAGGAGGGGGACUUGAGGGACUGCUCCUCUCUACCCAUGAUACACAUAUACAAUCUGCAUAGCCCUGGAAUAUGGGAGCUGUAGAGACAGUUGAGUGAAAAUGUGAGUGAAACUGUCCCAACGUGGGUGUUAUAGCUAUGGGAAAAUGGGUCUGAUAAUACAAAGUUGUGCCCACAGAAGACAUGCCAAAUUUAUUCCAGCCAGCACUGCCUCUAUGUGACAAGUUCUACAGAAUGUGAAAAGGACAACCUGUGAGCAGAUAAGCAGACUUUGAUAAACAUGUUGACAGCAGCAGCCUGGGAUCAGAGAUGCCAGACCAGCAAGGUGCUGAUAUGGAGAGCAUGACUGCACCACAGGGACUGGGGCCUGUUAUGUACAGUGUCUGGGGAUGGAUAACAGGGAACUAAGGAGCAUAACUGGAUGCAGCCCCACUUUUGUUCAACAGGUAAAUGCAGCAUGGGGGCACCCUAUUGUGGUGUGGAUAUGUUUUCACCUGGGUAACUGUGUAUCACUGAAAAAUGAUACAGAUAUUUGAGGUGGCAACAAGCUCAUCAGGGCGAUGCCCACUGUUUGGCUUACUGUGGAAGCUUCUUAAGUCUGUGUUACCAAGGGCUGACAAUAACUAUCCCUACACUGACCAGGACACCACCUGGGUAUUCCCAUAUAUCAACGACACCAUCAAACCCAUUAUUAUGGACACACUGCAAUAUUGUGAAACUGUUCUGUAGGUGCCACCAUAUUGUACAGAUGGCCUGGUGCUUUUCUCUGGUGGCUGUGUUGCUACCAAGGACAAAAAUCAUGGACCUAAUCCUUUGUUAAUGCAGCGCCCAUGCCAUUAACUUUACUUGCUAGGCCUGGUGUUGCUCAUGGAUGAAACUUCUCAAAUGUGAAAGGUGGGUUUGCAAAACCACAUGAGCCUUGAUUUGGGAGCCACAGCCCAACAAGGUACUUGCACUGUCUUUCAUGUAGAAUAUGGCAUUUAUAUCUCUGACCAACAGAGAUAGGAAUAAGAGGUUUUACAAUAAAUGGAUGUUCACCUGAGACUCCCAGACUGCCAUCAUGGGUCUGCCCCACAACCUGGCAACCAAGGACACACUGGACUGCCACUCAGGCCCACACAGUUGGAAAUGCCCCAACCAGCUGGAUGUAGUAUUACAGUUGACCUUUGGCUCUGACCCUUUCUCCUAAAACUUUGGACUACAGUGGAUUAUGAUGCUGGCUCGAUGAGAGACUCAGGAACCCUUCACGCAAACAGAAGCUGUUGGCAGUCUCCAGUCAGUGUGGUGAGUGCGCCCCUAAAAUAGAGGUCUGCAGUGGGUAUAUAGGAGCAGAAAUGAAGCUCCCUCCAACUACAAGCCCUUGGCAAACCUGGCAAGAGAGUGAGUAACACUCCACACAGAGAACAUCAGACAAGUUGAGGAGUGUACCAAUAAGGCCUCCUCUCACUUGGAGAAAAUUAAAAGAGCUUAUAAAACACCCAGUGAAACAAUAGGGCCUCAGCUGACAAAAACAAUGUAAACAGGGAUAUCUGGUGACCUGCAACAACCUAAAGACAUAGCAAUAGCAAGAACUAAGAGUUUGCCUAGAUCUAUUCUUUUAGGCUAGUUAGUCCAGGAAGAAUAUAGGACUCACAAAACAGGCCCUGUGUGAGGAAUUCAGGUGACGGGCUCUCCUCUUCAUUUUGGUACCCAGCAAUUGCACAAAAAUCAACCACACAAUAGGACCCUAAAAUCCACACUAUUGGGAUUGGAAGACCAAAUAUGUACCCAAAGGAUGAAAAUGACAAGGUGAAUUGGCAAAAUGCAAUCUCAAACAUCUAGUGAAUCAGUAGCAAGCACAGGUAACACUGAAAUAGAGGAUCUUAAAAGUCAUAUACCAGAAAUCUCUGGAAAGAUAGCAACUGACGUAAAGAGUGAAAUCCACGAGGCUAUAGCAGAAAUCAAAUUAGAAAGAAUGUCCCAUGCAAAGACAGAAAUACCAACCUUAUUAAACUAGUUGCACAACAUAGCUAGAGAAGAAAUAGAUUUUUAAAAAGACAAGAGCAUGAGAAAUUGAUUGAAACUUUGAAUGAAUAAUGUAGAAAAUAAGCAGAAUCCAUGAAUCAAAUGCAAGGAGAUAUCCAAGACAAAAAACUAUUGAAAGCUGGUAAAGCUAUUUAUAAGAAGCUGAGGAUAGCUUGAGGACAGUGUCAUACAUAGUGAUCGUGAUAGGUUAGAACUUGUAAAAACAACAGAGAAACAUGAAAUAAUAAUUCAGUAGCUUCAAGAUGAUGUGAAGAGAAACAUAACAGUAACAGACAUCAGUGAAAGUACAGGAGUUGAUACCGUGUUAUGCUAUGUUAUUUUACAUUAUGUUAUAUGUUGGUGAGGAUUUUCAAACUGUAUUUUCUGUGGUUUCUGAUUUGAUUUUGUAUAAUCAACCUGAGAAAAUAUAAGAAUAUCACAUAACUCUGAGUAAGUAUUUUUUGAAGAAAAUUUAAAAAGGAAGACACAGUCAGCGAUGUUGGUACACACCUGUCAUUCCAGUACUCAGAGGUUGAGGCAGGGGAGUUAGUGGCCCAGCCAUGCCCCACAGUGAGUGCUGGAAGGUGUAGUGAUACACAAAGGUUAAGGAGAAGUUAGAAAUAAUAGCAUUUUCAGAUCAGUUGUGAGCAAAUAAGUCAUUAGCUUCCUACAUGAAGAGUAUCACCCCACGUGUCCUGUGACAACCACACAUUCUGGAGAUGAGAAAACAGGAUUGUUCUGGGUGAGGGAGUGCGGACCUGUAUGUGAUGACACACAGGGUACUUCCCUGUGGUGCUUCUGAAGAAAUUGGGUUUCCUUAGCCAUGAAAGGCUGAGUGGCUGUGUUCACUCUCUCUUGGUAGAAUGUCAUUUAGCCUAGUGGGGCCUCAACCUCUGACGAGAGGGGCCUGGAUAAUUUCCCUGAGACAUGGACAAAGUAGCAAGGGCCUAGGUUUUGGGUGAGUGCACCCCUGCUGAUGUGAUGAUGUGUCAGAGCUGGGGACAGGGUAGAAGCACAGUCACACCAGUGCCAAAGGGAUAAAUGGGCCCAGGCGUUACAGUGAACUAAAACAGCAGAAGUAAAUCAUGACAGGAGGUGAAGUGACUUAGUGUCCAUGUCCCUAUUCUGAGGCUCCCGCUAAUUUGUGGACAGUGACCUGGCACCUGGCCAUGUUGGCUGAGCAGAGAGGAGGUGAUAGUUGAAGAAUUAGACCCCAGGUUCCUUUUGGGGCAGGACCACAGGCCUGCUGUUUACACACCAUUUUGGGAAGUGCUGAAAAUGUAAUCUGACCCUGAAUAUCCCCUGUGCUCUUUGGGCCUCAUUACAGAAUCUCCUUAGGUCACUCUCUCCCCCUGCUGGCAUCUGUUGUUAUUGCGAGGUCCCACUGUGGUACAGGUAUGUAGAUUGCAGCCCUGCAGGGACGUGCUACAGGCUGAUGUAUGGGGCAGCACUGUUGGUGCAGUGCCUAGUAGUGUGCAAGAAGCUUCUGAGAUCUCAGACAAGCAGAAAAUCGGGACAUCAGGACUCUCCUAAAGCCUCCCAGAGUUCUGAGUAUAGCACAGAGAGACAUGGCAGCUUCUGGAAGCACAGGCUGCACAUAGAGCUGCAGGGUUUGCCCUGCACAGUGAGCUGGGAGGGGCCAUGCCCUGUCUCAUAACCCUGCUCCCCCAUGGUAGGGAUGAUAGGGACACCCAGGCCCACAGAGCAGAUAGUCACUAAGGGGUGUUCACCAGCAUUUAUGAUCCAGGAAGCCCUCAAAGCCAACAACCAGCCAGGACAGAAACCAGGAGGUCUCACUUUGUCUGUUUUGGGAUUGCCUAAGUGGGAAAGGAUUCACCUUUCUAGUGACAUCACAGAAACCACCAUCCAUGUGAUGAACCACGUCCUUUAGUACAGUUCCCCAUGGCUGCCUUUCAGACAGCACCUGGGGCUUGCUGGCCUGGUGGGGAAGCCAGGCUGUGUCCUUUUGGAAGCUGAUCUCGCCCACCUUUGCCUCCCCAUCUAGAAUUUAUUCUCACCCUCUGUUUCCCCAAACCCUAGAGCAGCACAGGCUCACUUAUCAGCCCCCAGGUAGCCUUUCUCAGAGCCCUAGUGAAUCUCCCUCUACCUGGGUUGCCUGGCCUCUGCUUUGCAUCUGAGGCCUGAAAAAACCCCAUCCUUAUCCCUGUUUCCUGCUGGGGACUCAUGGCCACCUGAGUGAGCACUUGGGUAACAGAGCUUCUUAUGUACAUGGGAAGGUUCUUUAGAAAUUAAGCAGUGAGUCCCUAGCUUCUGGAUUGAAGUUUCUGCAUUAGAGCCAGAUCAGAAGGCUGUACCAUCUCUCACUGGUAGUACAUAUUGCACACAUUACAUUUUGCAUCUGGUUGUACCCCCAAAGCCUCAUGUAGUCACAGGAGAAUGUUUUUUUCAAAAGUUGCUGAAACUAAGUUUGUGAAGGAUUCAUGGUCUAAUGCUGAGAUUAAGGGUGUUUGUGGCACACCUGCGCUAGGGUUGGUACCUGCUUACAUUGUAAGGGGUGGAAGGAGACUUCCUCUCCCCUCCUCACCUGUUGUUUUUACCGUUUUCCACUGCCGUGGACUGUUGCCCUCUGCCAUGUCCCACCCUGCCUUGAAGCCAGCAGGUAAUGGACUGAAACCUUUCCAAAUUGUGAACUAAAACACUCUCCCCUUUUUAAAUUUGGGUGUCUGUUAUUUUGCCUCACCGGCAAGAGAAAAGUAUCUAAGACAGGACACAAGAGACCCAGCCUCCUAUAACUUUUCCCAUGCUCUCAGCCUCAGGAAUUCUUGCUCACAUUGCUGAAUUCAGCUGAGUGUAACCUAUUUCCCUUUUAGACCACACAUCUGAUACCCAAAGGCGCAGUGCUGGCCCUGUGUAAUUAGAGACCUGCACUUGGCCUUGUGUGUCACAGUCCACCUUUCAAGCCGUGUGCUGUCUGAGACUGGGCCCUUGACCUGUGAGAUCAUGGUGAACCUGGACUGAUGAAAUCCCACACCAAAAAAUCCAGGCUCAGGGCUGCUCACCUCCAAAAAGUAAGCUUCUGUCAAAGUCAGACACCUGAUGUAUUUGGGGUUGAUUAUUAGUAGGAAAAGCCCAUUCAGAGUGUGAGCUUCAUGCUCCAUGGGAGCUAUGCAGAGCAAAAGAGAACACUAUGAUGCGGUCUGCAGCCAGCAGCUGAGCAGUGGCUUUUUCCCCACCACAAGGGUCUGUCUACACAGGAAGGAAGUCCCCCUCCUCCUCGGUGCACAGAAUAGAGUGUUGGGGUCAGUGACCCAGACACUGCAUGUGAUCCUCUCAACCCAUGCUCUCUAUGGCUGCUCAAACUGGUGACCUAGCACUUGGUCAUGGCCAAGGCCAUGACUGUCUGUGUUGAAGCUGCCUCACAGUCUCAGAAUAACAGAGCAGUACUUAAUGAAGGUUCCAACAGGUGAGGGGUGAACCUAGGCUCCAAAAGGCAGAGGCAUCUAUGGAAACUGUGCUCAGUGGGAACCCUAACCCUAGGGUACCAUAUUCUGUCACCUGGAGCAUGAACCCCAUGUCAGGCAGGGUGUGGUGCGUCCCAGGUACCAGAUACUGUGGAUUCCAGUAUGUGGUCAUGGUUUGGGAGGGAGGUAGCAUGUCUUCCCAGGGAGGUUGCUCUGCACUCUUUCACUUCCUGCCAGGCUCCCAUGGACAGGCAGUGUGACCUGGCAGAUGUCGGGGAACCUCCCUUUCUGUUCUGUGAGCCUCAGGCCACAGACAAAGGAGGCAGCUGCAUCCCACCCCAUGCUCUUCCAGAGGGCACUAAUUUCAUGGACUAGUGGCUAAAUAACCUCAUGACUGGUAAGUAUUUGACUGAGAGCAGAAUCAUCAUUGGUUGGCAUCUGCCAGCAUCUUCAGAAAUUCAGGCUGCCAGUUGCCUUCCUUGCACCUAUCCAUCAACCUGGUUGGUUCAUUGUUCCCAGCCAAAGAGGCAGUAUUAUGGGAGGCUCAUGUCUCAAAAGAGUCUUGACAAUCAUGAUGAAUGUUCAGUAGUCCAUAUCUCUGGCCCCUUUGUUUUGCUGACACUGUUUCCUAACUACUAAAGGAACAGCAUUGGGGGUGCACCCAGCAGAUUUCAAUGCCAAAAGCAUACACUGCCAGAGAAUAGCAGAGUGAAGACAGAUUCUUGACUAUUGGCAGUUGAAGAGACCUGCUGGGGUAACUGUCAAAACUGCCUCCCCAACACAAGGGCAGCUGGAUUGUACUGGAGAGACCUAUCACACCCAUAUGGGGAGGACUGGUCCUCACCUCUAGAGGGAGACACUUUCCUGCUCUCCUGGAAUCACAUUAUAAAUCAUGCUGCAUUGUGCACUGUGCAUCAGAACUGGUGAAUUAGGUGCCUCAUCUCUUUGAGCACCCACAUUCCACGCUUGAGUGCAUUUUGUAUCUCCCUCCAGCAAACCUUUCUGAAGCCUGUGUUUUAAAAAAUAGUGGAAGCAGGGCAUGGUGGUGCACACCUUUAAUCCCAGCACUCAGGAAGCUGAGUCAGGAUUCUUGAAAGUUUGGGACCAACCUAGGUUACACAGUGAGCUCAAGUCUAGCCUGAACUGCAAAGUGAGACCUUGAUUCAAAAAGACAAAAUCAAAUGAAAUAAAUGGUGGAUUAGAACCCUUCUGAGUAGAGAUUUGGGUAUUAUAAUGUGUGCAUAGCUUUUUUCUGUUUAACUUUCUCUCUCUCUCUCUCUAUCUCUCUCUCUCUCUCUCUCUCACUCACUGGGGAUUGAAUUCAUGGCCUUAUGAGUCUUGCUUCCUUCCUUGCUCUUUCUAACUCUGUCUCUGUCUCACUCUCUCUCCAUUUUUUUGACUUUCCAUAUUCUUCAGCCUAGGCUUGAACUUCUGAUGUUCCUGUCUCAGAUUCCUACAGUAUGGGAAUUACAAUUGUGCACAACUAUGCCAGUUUCAUAGGGUCAUUGUAACAAACACUGUUUACUCUAGAUGACUUACAAGUGUGUGUGUGUGUGUGUGUGUGUGUGUGUGCUCUUUUGGUUGGUUUAAAGUAAUUUCUCAUUUUUUGUUUUGGUUUUUUCAGUAUCAUGGAUCAAACUCGCAAUGUUGCAUUUUCUAAGCAGGUGCUGAAGCUGCUGAGUGAAGUCCUCAGCCUAAAGCAAUGACUUCUUGGUUCUCCUUAUCUUGAGGAUGUCAUCUGAAAUAAGUAAACAAUUUAAAGGGGUGUUUGAAGUUACUGGUAGUAUUUUCCUUAACCCUCACCUUCCCAAAGAAUGAAUGCUUAACCCUAUCCCCUCCUGCAUAGCAGCUAACUGCUUUGGGAUUGUCUCCUCCUGGGCUACCUGUAAACUGGGAGGGCUAUAGGUUGUUCUUGAUGGAAUUGUCCAUUGAGGCAAUGUCAUCCUCUUUGGUCAAUGUUACCAAGUGCCUGCAAGGACUGUCAUACAUCAGACACAGUGAACAAACCCAAACGCCUUGUGCCCUGAUCCAUGGCAUUGAUGAUUAAUAAAGAUCAAAUCCCUGGUCAGUACACCUUUUGAGAGUGGACUGAGUUUCAUUCUUCUUCCCUGGUAUCAUUUCCUAAGUCCUGUGAUGACAUUUGCCUCACUUCCAUCCUGCCCCUGUGCUGCACAGGUUACUGAGGGUCUCAGCUGUCCUGACCUGGACUGGAACAUGGUUCUCCAAGCAACCGAUGUGCCGUUCCCCUGCUUGCUGCUCUGACCACCUUCUGAUGGGCAUCAUUCCCAGGCUGAAAGUCCAGGGCAAUAGCAUCUCUUGGCCCCACUUUCACAUGUGUCAGCAAUAUAACUGGGAGUGUGGCCUCCCUUACUCUCUGAGCCUGGGGGGAGUCACUUCAACUGUUAUUGUGCACAGCCAGCUGAAGCACAGGAUCAGUGCCAGGUAGCAUGGAAAAACCGAGGACCCUCUGUGUGGCACCAUGUGAGAGCUGAGCACCAUGAGGGAGAGCACAAAACAAGGGUCCUUCCUUGUCCAGCCCAGUCUUCUCUGAACCUUUCGGUGGAGCCACAAGAGGAGACACUGCAUGUGUAGCUGCCCAAAAUUUAGCUGGUGCAGUUUGGUGCUAUCAGCCAAAAGGUAUCCCUCCAUCCUCCUCUUAUACACACUUCUCCUCUCAAGAGCACACAUCUGGGCUUGUGCUAGCCCUGGCUGGACUGGGAGCUGCCCUGUACUCCCCCAGAAGAGAGAAUCCAGUACCCACAGCCUUGAAAUCAAAUGGAUUUGGAAAUAAAAAACCUGAGGGAGGGGUUCCUUUCCCUGUUUAUUCUUGACUCAGAAGGAGGGAAGAGGAGCAAGAUUCAAGCACAGAUGAAGAGGAAGGAGUUCCUUUCCCUGUUUAUUUUGGACUCAGAAAGAAAACAGUUGAGCAGCAGUCAAUCAGUGAUGAAGAGGCGGGCUAUAUGAAAUGUCCAAUCAGGUGAGCGGUGGCAGGAGGUCUCUUGGGUCUUUUCUGGUGUGUAGACAUUGUUUACCUGUUUGGAAUACAAAACUGGGAGCAGAAUGCUUGCUGGAUCUCAUUUCCUGGUUUCGAAGUCCUGUGGCCUGAUCAGCAAAGAGUCUGGGAGACCCUCUAACCACGGAAUGGUGAGGCUUUGGAUUGGAGCCCAUAAAAAGGGCAGAAUUGGGAAAAAACAGUUACAAGUGGUUACAAGCAGUUCUGGUGUGUGUAGACUCAGGUAUUUAGUUAGUGUCAGCUCCUGAGCUCUUCUAGCAUUGGCCUUGGGUCAUCCACUUUCCCUUUUUCUCCUGCUGGGAACAAGGGUGAUUCUGUGUCCCCAGAACCCUGAAUUAAAUAUGAUAGCAUCAGAAUGGAUUAUCAUCUUUGAAAUUUUCUACUGUCCUGGCACCUCCAUCAUAAGGAGCAGUGGAAGGAGCUUGGGAAGCCCUGACUCUGAUGCAUUUUGUAGCUGGAGCAGCAGUACUUAGCUUGGUCUCUGCUCUUAUUCCAGGGAUCAGCAAUCCUGAUGCUCUAAAGUUUAUUAAUGUAUGUAAUGCAGGGCCUCAUAUCGCAAUGGCACUUCUUAAACCUGUACUUUUUUGUAUUUAUAGGGAUUGCCUAAAUGUAUGUUAUGUUCUCACAUUUCCAACCUCAUGACAGGUGUUGGCAAAAUCAAGAGAAUUCAGAGAUGUGUAGUGAUGUGCUUCAGUGGAGGAAGGCUUUCCAAACACCUGGUGAACUCCUGUGCAAAGAAUUUCUGAACAUACUUAAUGUGUCACAUGUGCUCAUAGACUAUGUUUGUGAGAACAGCCAUAGAGGUUUGAAUUUUGAGGGAAAAAAAGCAGAUAUAAAAGUGUCAUCAAGGGCAGGGUAAAGGGUGCUUGCUAAGGACAAAUUCUAGAAAGGGGUGCCUGUUAAAUUCUCACUGAAAAAUGCCUAAAUGUAGUCAUUUGCAUGAACAUAUAAAUACAUGAUAUCCUUCUGAAUGGAAAGGAAUAUGGGUGUUAUCUCUGAAUUAAGAGCUAAUUUAAUAGCUUGGUAGAUCAUAUACAUUGUUUAAAUAUGGAAAUGCUCUGUGAUGGACUUUACUAAUUCCUAUAAAGGAGAUGCCCUAAAUUGAAAUUGUGCAGGGAUAGCAAUAGUCUAGACAUGAAGGGUUUUCUGCUUAGCAUGGAUCACAGGAGCAUGAAAAGGAUGUGGAGGUGACUGGCAGGACACAGUGUGCAAAUAACAGGACAUACAACAGAGAGGGUCUUCCCUGAAAGUCAGGUAGUUCUUAGGGUAAGCAUGCAGUUAAAGUUGAAUUAUGAUUUCUUCCUUGAGGUGAAUAACACCAGCUCUGCUAACAAUCGGUAUUCCACAUCCCUGUCAACCCAUGAAUUCUGUGUUCUUCACUUGAGAUCUAGUUUUGAUUAUCUCAAAUUAUGACCCAGUAUCAUGAAGGUAAAAUUUCAAUUUUUUUUUGUGCCAAGGAUGGAACUCAUGAUCUCAAGCUUGCAAGUUAGGUUUUCAUGCUGCUAGUUAAAUACCCAGCUCUGAAAGUGUUUUCUGUAUAUUAUGGAUGAUAUCAACAUUUUUCCUCAGAAAAUGUUGAACAUUGUGGAAUUUUUCUAUAUUGUAUGGCUAAAUUUUUUAAAGCAAACCAAAAGUGUCCUAUGCAGUCACUUUUCAAGUUUCACAUUGUCUGUGGGGUGUCUCAGUCAGGGUUUCUCUAUUUCAGACAGCUCUGUAACUUAGGCUAGCUCCAAACUCAAGGAAGUUCUCCUGCAUCAGCCUCCCAAGAUAGAUUUCUUCUAUCUGAGUGGAAAGUAAUCACUUGUUGACACUGAGGUAUAAUUUGAAGCUUGCACUUGGUUUAAUUGUUUAUAUGUUUUUUACAUACAGCAGUUUUCCAUGAACAUUUGAGUUAUUAUUUAUGUACCAUAUUUGAUGUUAUUUAUGUUUUGUUCUGUGAAACUGUGAGAGUCGACCCCCCUGCUACAACCCCCUCCCCAGGGCGGGGAAUGAAAGGGUUAACUCCCUAACUCCCCAGAGCGGGGAAUGAAAGGGUUAACUCCCUAACUCCCCAGAGCGGGGAAUGAAAGGGUUGACUCCCUAACUCCCCGGAGCUCUCAGAACAGAGCAGUAAAGAGUGCUUCACUCCCUAAACCUUUCCCAGGAGAUAGUCAGAGCAGGGCCAAAAGGAAUGUCUCUGCUAGUCAUUAACCACUAAAUGCUCUGUUCUCUAUAAAGAUAGAGAUAAGCAAAAGAAUAUACUGUAUAAACAGGACCAGGGAGCACCUGGCACUCUAAGGUCAACCCAAGACCCUCGGUCUCCAUGGUUACUCAGCCCCAAACCCUCAAAUCAGCAUUAGCCAGGUCCUGCGCCGCUCAAAAUUAACCAAUGCGAUUUGCUUCUGUAAACUUACUUGCCUCCUACAUGUACCUUUAAAAACCCUACACAAAUUCCCCUCGGGGCCCCUCUGCACUUGUUUGCCUGAGGGACCCCAUGCGCAUGGAAAUAAACUUUUUUCCCUCACCAAGAAUUGAGUCCUUGGGGUCUCUUUCCCUGCGGCGUCGGCCCUAACAUCUUGGAGGCCCCAGCGAGAUAGCACGUCUCACGGGAGGUGACCUCAACGGCUCUGCGGUGGGUGAGUACGACCGGUCGCUUCUUAUUUUUACUCUGAGGAUCAAUCUACCGGUAUUUUAUGCCCCGAGUCAACCGGGCAAUUUUUGUUACCUGUUUUUGUUAUCUGUUCUCUGUUCUCUGGUGACCGGGGGACGCCCCACACGGUUUUCCGUGACUCACCGUCUGUGAUAGGAUUUUCCUAUCGGUUUGGGGCCCAAUCUGUGGUCCGUCAGGGCCAAUUCGGAGACACCCUCUGAGGUGACUCGUUUGGGGAAUUUCAUUCCCAAUCUGUGGUCCGUCUGGGCCAAUCUGGGGAAUUUCAUUCCCAAUCUGUGGUCCGUCCGGGCCAAUCUGGAGGCACCCCCUAAGGUGACUCGUUUGAUGUGAAACUAAUGCGUGAGAGUGAGGUGGCCGGCCUGUUUGUCCUGUAUGUUGUGACUGUUGUGAACGGUUAUUUGUUGUGUCGCGUGUACGCUAACCACUCUUUGUCUUCAGAACAUCAUGGGCCAGACGACAUCGUCCCCAUUGUCCCUCAGCCUCAACCAUUGGUCGGAGGCUCGAGAGAGGGCUCACAAUCUCUCCUUACAGGUUAAAAAAGUAAAUGACAGACUUUCUGCUCGUCUGAGUGGCCCACAUUCUCCGUGGGUUGGCUACCGGAGGGGACUUUCCACCUUCCCCUCAUCUUAGCAGUUAAGAACAUCAUCUUCUGCCCUGGACGAGAGGGCCACCCCGACCGGAUCGCCUACAUCUUGGUAUGACAAGACCUCAGGGAGGAGCCCCCACUGUGGGUAAAACCCUUCCUUCCUCCGCCCUCUCCUUGGUUGCCUGUUUAAACUUGUUACUAACUUAGGGGCUUCUUGCCCAUUUCUGUUGUAGGAUCCAUAUGGCUUAUUAGAUUCAAGGUUCAUGAUAAGAAAAAUUAUUUCCUUUAGCUGACCAAACUAUGCAAGAAGCUCCCUUUGUUUGUGUCUUUAAUGUUGUGGCACCUUGUUUAAUAUGUAAGACUUCAAUUGAUUUCUUGCAACCUCGGCAUGCCUUUUAAAAGGAGUAUUUUUUCUCUCUGGUGAAAAUAUAAACAUGUGCACAUAUAUAUGUAUAUCUAUGGUUGUUAAGAGUCAUGUCAACUUUGCCAAGUAAAAACCAGGCGGUACUAUAUUUGAGCCAGUUAAAAGGUUACAGUUUUGUUUUUAAAAUACAACAUUUUUAUGUGGUAAAAAGACAUAAAAUAAGUAUGUUUUGGGCUACUAGAAGGUGACUUCAAGGGUUUUGUUGAGAGUUUUGAUGUUGUCUGAGAAGUGAGAAAAAAAGGUAAUUGACUGGUAAUAGUAAAAAGAGGGACAAAGAGAGUGGUCUUCAAGUAAAGGUGUCUGGCUAUGCCAGAAUGUAAAAAAAGAUUAAAGCUUAGUUUGAGAGGUAUUAUUGUAAGUUGUAGAAGGCUCAAGAGGAUGUGAAUUUUAUUUGUCUUGGUUUAUAGUACUACAAAUAACAGGUUUGACAAAAAGUAAAUGUGUUCAGAAUUUGACAGUAUUAGAUCAGUUUUGGUAAAAGUAUACAUAAGAUUGUACUUUGCUGCAAAAUGUUUUCAUUAAAAUGAGAUUAUAGGUGAUAUUAAAAAUAAGAUACAAGUUCUUACAUGCGCUGUAAACAUCUGGGAGAUUAUACAGCACAAUUUUGUUACCUAUGAAAAAGCCCUUUUUGUUAAAAAUAUAAUUUUAAUAAAAUAAUGGCCUGUCACGUGACACCCUUGGACAAAAAAACAGUGUGCCAUCCAGAUGAAGCCGGCUCUCUGAUCCGGAAUGCCAAAACCAUGUUCUCCUUUUGUGCCACCCUGACUGGACAUCCAGAGGUAAGGAGGUUUCCCAAUAUUGCCAGUUGUUCUCUUUGUAACUCAGUCGGCCCCACAUGUUAGACAAAAAUUACAAAGGUUUAAAAGGUUUAAAAAAAUGCCCCUCAGCCAGUUAAUAGAGAUAGCACAAAAAGGUCUUUGAGAACUAAAAAAUUUACAAAAAGAUAGCCAAGGUGUUAAAAUUGCUCUAAAAAAAAAAAAAAACUUUUAAAAAACAGACGAGAGUUUCUGGGGGCAGUUGGAUACUGUAGGCUAAAUUUUACUGAAAAGCUUGCCUCUAUAUGACUGACUCCCAUAAGGGAGAAACUCAAAAUUCGCUGAACUGGACUGAUAAAUGUAAACAGGCCUUCCAACAGCUCAAGCGGGCCUUGACAGAGGCCCCAGCCCUGGGACUCCCUGACGUUACCAAGCCUUUCAUCUUGUUCAUAGAUAAACUCAGGGACAUUGCCAAAGGAGUCCUAACUCAGGACAUUGGCCCUUAAAAGAGGCCUAUAGCCUACCUCUCCAAAGACUUGAUCCAGUAACAGGAGUAUGGCCCCCUGCCUAAGAAUACUAGCUACUGUGACAAUGUUACUUAAGGAGACAAAAAAACUCGCUUUGGGCAAGUGAUUUCUGUGGUAACCUCUCACAGUUUAGAGACUCUUAUCAAAACCCCUCCUAAAAAAGGCUCUCAAAUGCCAGAAUUCUACUGUCAAGCCCUGCUUCUAGACCCAGAGUUAAUGAUGUUCAAGACUUCUUCAGCUUUAAACCCAGCCACCCUUAUGCCUGAUGAUGAUCCGGAGGAACAAAGGACACCUCUCCAUGAGUGUGCUGACAUCCUCGAACUGCAGCAGAACCUACAGGCUGAUCUUACUGACCAGCUUUUGGGAAAUGCCAACAACUGUUCGAUGAAAACAGCUUCAUCCAAAACGACAAACGAGUGGCCGGGGCAGCAGUGACCACCGAAAAGGAGGUACUCUGGGUUAAGCGGGUAGAGCCUGGCACUUCUGCCCAAAAGGCGGAGCUUAUUGCUUUGACUAAAAGGCUAAAACUAGCCACAAAAAAGAGGGUAAACAUUUUUUUACUGAAGACAUCCCUUUGCUACUGUACAUAUACGGGGAAGCCAUCUAAAAAUGCUCCACAGAUUCUAGAUUUGCUGGCAGCUGUCUGGCUGCCUCAAUGGGUUGCUAUUCCUUACAAGGCUCACCCAACCAGAGAUAAAAAAUAACAACCACAUCAGAGGGGUCAACCAAGAAAGUAACUGCUCUGAUACUAGUCCUCUGACCUUGUCAGAACUAGUCUACACAAAAAAAAAAAAGACCUACAGUUGACAUCUCAACUUGGAAUAAAGUCUCCCACCCCAAGGGGCUAAUACCAGUUACCUGAUAAACAAGUACUGUUACUGGAGGCACUAGGGUGGGAGCUGUUUCACCUUACAGAAUUGUUCAGAACUCAGUAUUUUAUUCCAAAACUCUACAAACUGACCACCUCUUCGAGCUCCAGAUGCCCACAGUGUUUGUUAGUCAACUCAGCCAAGAGCUCUGCGUUGGAGACCACCCGACAUCAAAAAAUUGUUCCAGGAGAACAUUAAAAAAUAAACUUCAUGGACAUGGUAAAACUUAAUUUACAGGGACACUGCUAUCUCUUGGUAUUAAUAAACAUUUUUACUGGCUAGGUAGAGGCUUUCCCUACUAAGUCUGAGUCAGCCUUAGUGGUAGUUAAAAGGCUAUUACAUGAGAUCAUACCUUGAUUUGGCCUCCCACUAUCAAUGGGGUCCGAUAAUGGCCUGGCUUUCAUAGCCCGAGUCACCCAAAAGUUAGCCCAGACAUUAAAGAUUAAUUAAAACUCCACUGUGCCUAUCAGCCACAAAGCUCAGGGCAAGUAAAACGUAUAAACCAAAGUCUCAAGGACAUUUUAGCUAAGCUGUCUUCAAAAACUGGCAAUAAUUGGAUGAGCCUUCUUCCCUUUACACUGUUAAGAACUAGAUAUACCCCAUAUGUUUCCAAAAUUUCCCCCUUUAAAGCCAUGUUUGGGAGGCCCCCGCCAUUGGUUCCAAGAUUGUCAAAAGACAAAUUAGCUGAAAUUACUAAUCGAGAUCUUAAGUCCCUACAGACACUCCAACCUGUGUUGGCCUGGAUCCACCAGCUGUUUAGACAAAAACACUUGGACCUGCCUUCAGAGACCAAGGCCUCAAGGACUCCAGUCUUGGUUCGAUGUCACCACCGUGACUCCCUUAAACCCCGCUGAAAAAGACCUUUCACCGUGGUGCUCAGUACCCCCACUGCCAUCAAGAUAGCAGGAAAAACUGCGCGGAUUCACUACACUCAUGUAAAGCCACUGGAAACAGCAGACAACGAGGGACAUACUCAGUGGACUACACAACAGACUGGUAACCCUUAAAGUUAAAAAUUGACUAACUGUUUUAGCUUGCUUGUUUUGAUUUUAAUAACAUUAAUGCCGACCUUACAUGGCGGCUUUGGUCCCCCUGUAAGCAAAAAAAAAAAAAACCAAUUGUUAAAGAUCUUUUGUUUUAAAAAAAAGGGGGGUCUCUGCGCCGCACUUAGAAAAAAAUGUUGUUUUUACACUGAUCAUACUGGGAUUGUAAAAGAUACAAUAAAAAAAAAGUUGAAAAAAAAAUCAGAUCUCAAGAGCCCCCUUCAAAUAAAGCCAAAGUGUUCUCUUUCCGAGAAUCAAUUCUGCCCUAUAUCCUCCCUUUAUUGAGACCCCUGGCCGGAUUCAUUAUAGUCAUGGCUAUAGCCCCUUGCCUCAUUAACCGAGUAACCCGGUUUGUGAGGGCUCAGAUCUCUCAGGUAAAAGUUAUGGUGCUACGUCAACAAUAUGACCCCUUACCUAUACAGGACUUUUAGGAUUAAAAGUCAUUGGAGAAAUAAAAGGGGGGAAUGUGAGAGUCGACCCCCCUGCUACAACCCCCUCCCCAGGGCGGGGAAUGAAAGGGUUAACUCCCUAACUCCCCAGAGCAGGGAAUGAAAGGGUUAACUCCCUAACUCCCCAGAGCGGGGAAUGAAAGGGUUGACUCCCUAACUCCCCGGAGCUCUCAGAACAGAGCAGUAAAGAGUGCUUCACUCCCUAAACCUUUCCCAGGAGAUAGUCAGAGCAGGGCCAAAAGGAAUGUCUCUGCUAGUCAUUAACCACUAAAUGCUCUGUUCUCUAUAAAGAUAGAGAUAAGCAAAAGAAUAUACUGUAUAAACAGGACCAGGGAGCACCUGGCACUCUAAGGUCAACCCAAGACCCUCGGUCUCCAUGGUUACUCAGCCCCAAACCCUCAAAUCAGCAUUAGCCAGGUCCUGCGCCGCUCAAAAUUAACCAAUGCGAUUUGCUUCUGUAAACUUACUUGCCUCCUACAUGUACCUUUAAAAACCCUACACAAAUUCCCCUCGGGGCCCCUCUGCACUUGUUUGCCUGAGGGACCCCAUGCGCAUGGAAAUAAACUUUUUUCCCUCACCAAGAA
This is an RNA transcript of Cavia porcellus (domestic guinea pig), 24042 nucleotides long. RefSeq lists it as uncharacterized. The transcript has 7 exons. NCBI's taxonomy places the organism in Eukaryota, Metazoa, Chordata, Mammalia, Rodentia, Caviidae. The record is from RefSeq and is a predicted model, not a curated record.